Molecule: ribosomal RNA, 583 nt
Filed under: Dysideidae sp. DE-2012
Lineage: Eukaryota; Metazoa; Porifera; Demospongiae; Dictyoceratida; Dysideidae
Description: eukaryotic LSU rRNA
Rfam family: Eukaryotic large subunit ribosomal RNA (bases 233-583)
Source: RNAcentral
UCUGUCCGAGCGUCUGCCAACCACAAGUCCUCGCCACAUGCGGGGAGAUUGGGGAACUGCGGUGUCUCCUCGGCGGUGAUGCCACACUCCCUGAAGAAUCGAAGACCGGUGUGGUCGCCCGCCGUACGAGUCGGCCGGUGACAACGGUGAACAGUGUUGUCACGUCGAGUUCGUGGCGUGCGGGAGGCAGUGCAGGUCGCGUACCAUCAGGUCGUGCUUUGUCAGCCAAUCUAGACCUCGGAUCAGGCCAGGCUACCCGCUGAAUUUAAGCAUAUCAAUAAGCGGAGGAAAAGAAACUAACAAGGAUUCCCUUAGUAACGGCGAGCGAAGCGGGAAUAGCUCAAAUUUGAAAUCUCCGGUGCUUGCACUGGCGAAUUGUAGUCUGUAGGGCCAGUUUCGCCUGACGCAGUGUCCCCAAAGUCGUCCUGGAAAGGCGGGCCAGAGAGGGUGAGAGCCCCGUGUGCGGGGGCACCGCGGAAGGUAAGAUCUGUGCCCGAAGAGUCGGGUUGUUUGGGAUUGCAGCCCAAAAUGGGUGGUAAACUCCAUCUAAAGCUAAAUACUGGCACGAGACCGAUAGCGAACA